AAAAGAGGGUUCAAGUUUGAAAGAGUGCUUUGAUUUGUACAAGAGCACAGCAGCCUGUUGCACGCCAUUCCGAUCUGAGGGCUGUCACUUCUUCCAGCCAUCAAGAGACUUCUGAAGAGCCAGAAACCUGUCAAGUACUACUCUCUGUCAAAAAGCAAAAAGAAAAUACGCAUUUUGAUCUGGAAAUUCAUCUCAGACCAGGAAGGCAGACAGCAGGAUGGCUUCACAUCUAUUGGUUCAUGAGACUGAUACUUAAGUACUCUAGUGUUUUCCUCAGAUCUUUUAAUUGCUUAAAAACAACUACCACUCAUACAGAUUUUACAGCGCCAAGACAAAAGGCAUAAUGUAGCACAAGCAUGGCUUAGCACUGGUGUUUGCCUAAGGUCAGCAAUAGAAAUCUCAUGUGCAGAGCUGUUAGCAUGAGGAUAUCAAGUACCAACAGAGAAAAUGAACUGGUUUGAGGUGGGUUUUGGCUAAAUUGAAAAUUACUUGACCACUGUACCACCCCAGCUCCACAGAAAGCAAUAUAAAUUGUUCAUAGUACUGAAAAGAUCCAGAAAAUGCAGAAAUAGGGACAUGUUAAGGCAUACUUCACAGUGAGCUAAAAUCCAGAAUGGCAAUUGUAAAUGCUGUGGUGGUCUGCUCAUGUGCAUCGUUCUGAGCAUGGUGCUAAAUAACACCAAAGUCCUGGGUUUGAUCCUGGUAUGGGCCAUUACUUUUGAAUUGGACUAGGUGAUCCUUGUGGGUCCCUUCCAACUCAGAAUAUUCUG
Sturnus vulgaris (Common starling) is the source of this 770-nucleotide non-coding RNA. The record is from RefSeq and is a predicted model, not a curated record. Lineage: Eukaryota; Metazoa; Chordata; Aves; Passeriformes; Sturnidae.